This 154-nucleotide ribosomal RNA is filed under the name uncultured fungus. RNAcentral's name for it is "partial 5.8S ribosomal RNA". It matches the Rfam family "5.8S ribosomal RNA". From Rfam's summary of the family: 5.8S ribosomal RNA (5.8S rRNA) is a component of the large subunit of the eukaryotic ribosome. It is transcribed by RNA polymerase I as part of the 45S precursor that also contains 18S and 28S rRNA. The record is from RNAcentral. Lineage: Eukaryota; Fungi.
AACUUUUAACAAUGGAUCUCUUGGCUCUCACAUCGAUGAAGAACGCAGUGAAAUGUGAUAAGUAAUGUGAAUUGCAGAAUUCAGUGAAUCAUCGAAUCUUUGAACGCACCUUGCACCCUUUGGUUUUCCAAAAGGUACACCUGUUUGAGUGUCA